RNAcentral lists this small RNA (784 nucleotides) under Malus domestica (apple). RNAcentral's name for it is "sRNA MD12G0065800". Lineage: Eukaryota; Viridiplantae; Streptophyta; Magnoliopsida; Rosales; Rosaceae. The record is from RNAcentral.
AGGGUCCUAGCACAAAUCGAUAACCCUGAAUUAUUUAUUCUGGAUCUGUUCUGUGCCGUUGUUUGAAGGUUGGGCACCGUGUUAUCUCCCUCUGCAACUACACACGUCUGGUCUCGUCUGGUCUCUGCUCUCGUCAAGCCGGUGCGAUGGAAAGCAACUCUCUCUCGUCAAGCCCGUGCAAGGUUAAGGAGAUUCUCAAACGCCGCAAGAGGGAGAAAGAAAUUAGAAAGAGAAAACGAAUAAUCAAUCUAGUGCACCUGAUUCGUUGCUGUCCUGGUUACUGAAGCCGAUCUCUAUCGUCAUUUCCAUGACAUAUCUGAUGUUGGAGAUGGAGAUGUUAUAGAAGUAAUGGUGCACAACCAUGAACAUAAACAUUAUGGGUAUCUUGAAUUCAGGACAAGAGAAGUGGCAUUAUCGGCUAUGGAGAAGGGGCAUCAUACUAUUCUCUGUGACAAGAAAAUCAAGUGUUACCCUACCUCAUUAGUAAAGCAAGAUCUGGUUGUUUUUUCCCCAUGAAGUUCAGGAGCAGGAGAAGCUUAUAUGCCAGCCACUGGGCCGCAAUAAGUAUUUGACAGACCUCUUGUUUUAAGUUAAUUUCCUUGUAUUGUAGUUUUUAAACGGUUAGACUGUUGAACAUCUAUCUGUAAUUAUUGUCGAAAAUUGUCUGUUUUUCAUUGAGAGUACUCGUAAGUCACAGUUCUCAAUCAGGAAGCUGUUAAUAUUUUUUACCUGAACUCUUGAUAAUUCCAAGGAUCGAGGGCAGGGCAGGCGAGGGCUGAUUCGC